GAUGAACGCUGGCGGCGUGCCUAAUACAUGCAAGUCGAGCGAACAGACGAGGAGCUUGCUCCUCUGACGUUAGCGGCGGACGGGCGAGUAACACGUGGAUAACCUACCUAUAAGACUGGGAUAACUUCGGGAAACCGGAGCUAAUACCGGAUAAUAUAUUGAACCGCAUGGUUCAAUAGUGAAAGACGGUUUUGCUGUCACUUAUAGAUGGAUCCGCGCCGCAUUAGCUAGUUGGUAAGGUAACGGCUUACCAAGGCAACGAUGCGUAGCCGACCUGAGAGGGUGAUCGGCCACACUGGAACUGAGACACGGUCCAGACUCCUACGGGAGGCAGCAGUAGGGAAUCUUCCGCAGUGGGCGAAAGCCUGACGGAGCAACGCCGCGUGAGUGAUGAAGGUCUUCGGAUCGUAAAACUCUGUUAUUAGGGAAGAACAAAUGUGUAAGUAACUAUGCACGUCUUGACGGUACCUAAUCAGAAAGCCACGGCUAACUACGU
This 496-nucleotide ribosomal RNA is filed under the name uncultured bacterium. RNAcentral describes it as "partial 16S ribosomal RNA". It matches the Rfam family "Bacterial small subunit ribosomal RNA", at positions 28 to 506 of the family's 1533-position model. The record is from RNAcentral.